UUCUUUACUUUAAAAUACUUCGAGAGCUGCCUUUCCAAAUUCAUUCAAUGUUCACGUGUAAACUGAAUGUCAUGUUCUCAAAAUAAGUUGAAUAUGUAUUUGAAUACAUUCUGUCUCUCUCUACCAAGGUUUUUAGACUGUAUAUUUUCAUUCAGUUUUCUUCAAGUCACCAGAAUGUCAUGUGGAGUGAGGGGGUUAUAUAAUAUAAUUCCUUUAGCAACUGUAUUUAUGUAUGGUAUGUUUUUUGGCAGGCAUUAAACCAAAGGAAGAGGGCAGCAGCGUUGCAGGGCCUACCAUGGUACAUGAGGGAGAAUCCUUCUACAUUCAUGAAGAUUUGUGAGUCCCCUUCCGGCUUCCUACAACGAUGUUUCCCUCGUGAUUGAGGAAAUGAUUGUCAUACAUCACCUGGGUGGUGUACCCAACCCUCUUGUGAACCUGAUGGGACUGCUGCACAUGCUGAACCUUGAUUAUCCAAAAGACUUGGGAAUUGGGUUGGACUCGUGCACUCCUAGGGUCCACUAUCUGAAGAAUGAAUUGCUCAGAGAGAUGGCCUAUAAGAUGUCUCUGCAUUUGUCCCAAAGGAAGCAUUCUCACUUUUUGCUAUUCGUCCAGAAAUGUAUAACCCUUUUGUGGGUUACACCAGUUUAUUUUAUGUUUUCAUGUUCUGACUGAACUCUAUUGCUCUCUUUGGAGGAAAUAUGCCUAUGAGAUACAUGAAUGUGUAUUUUAUGUUGUAGAGCAACCAUGAACAGAGUGGAAAUUUGAGUAAUGUUUGAAAUAUGUUUUCAUGUUCUGACUGACAUUUGAGUCACCUUUCUCAUUUCUCUCUCUCAUUUCUCAUUUAGAGAUAUAUAUUUUUUCUGUGUAUGUCUUUCUGCAUUUUACUGCAGCAACCCUGAACACUCACUCCUCAGAGUGGGCUCUGUUGAACAAGUCACUUAAUUAGAGAGUUGGUUUUUCCCCCAAAGGAUGGAUGCUCUUCUUUUUACAUGUGGGAGAUGGUGUAAUUUCAGUUUUUGAGCAGCUCUGAGCAAGAGAGAGGAUGUGUGAGAGGGCGUGAAGGCUUUUUUUUUGUCUACAUGUUCCAAAGGGAGGCAACACUGAACACUUAUUGAAUGUGGGUGGGUUGGAGUAGAAAUACAGUUCUUGAGAUUGUAAUAAAAGUUCUGAUUUAAA
Molecule: long non-coding RNA, 1176 nt
Organism: Thunnus maccoyii (southern bluefin tuna)
Lineage: Eukaryota; Metazoa; Chordata; Actinopteri; Scombriformes; Scombridae
Exons: 2
Source: RefSeq, a predicted model, not a curated record